UACGAAGGGGGCUAGCGUUGUUCGGAUUUACUGGGCGUAAAGCGCGCGUAGGCGGAUCACUAAGUCAGGGGUGAAAUCCCGAAGCUUAACCUCGGAACUGCCUUUGAUACUGGUGAUCUGGAGAUCGGGAGAGGUUGGUGGAAUUCCGAGUGUAGAGGUGAAAUUCGUAGAUAUUCGGAGGAACACCAGAAGCGAAGGCGGCCAACUGGCCCGAUACUGACGCUGAGGCGCGAAAGCGUGGGGAGCAAACAGG
Molecule: ribosomal RNA, 253 nt
Filed under: uncultured bacterium
Lineage: Bacteria
Description: partial 16S ribosomal RNA
Rfam family: Bacterial small subunit ribosomal RNA
Source: RNAcentral